GUGACACCAGUGACACCGGUGACACCAGUGACACCAGUGACACCAGAGCCAGCAGCGCUGGGGGGCACGGGGGGUCAGGGACAGGAGUGACAGCAUGACAGUGCCAGCAGUGGCAGUGCCAGCAGUGGCAGUGACAGUGACGCCAGUGACAGUGACAGUGACACCAGUGACACCAGUGGCAGUGUCAGCAGUGCCAGCAGUGGCAGUGACAGUGACACCAGUGACACCAAGACCAGUGACAGCAGUGACACCAGUGGCAGUGCCAGCAGUGCCAGCACAGCUCGGGCACAGCUCAGAG
This is a long non-coding RNA of Oenanthe melanoleuca, 298 nucleotides long. RefSeq lists it as uncharacterized. Lineage: Eukaryota; Metazoa; Chordata; Aves; Passeriformes; Muscicapidae. The record is from RefSeq and is a predicted model, not a curated record. The transcript is spliced from 3 exons.